This 708-nucleotide long non-coding RNA is filed under the name Capsicum annuum. RNAcentral describes it as "long non-coding RNA (CANN_LNC006906)". The record is from RNAcentral. Lineage: Eukaryota; Viridiplantae; Streptophyta; Magnoliopsida; Solanales; Solanaceae.
AAUUUUCAAAUUCUUGAUUUCUCCUUUUAGGAUGGAGAUUUCUCCUUUGAGAUCAGCAAUAGAUGGUUCUAUAGGUUUGUCGAAUCUUGACAUAACCUGUUUCAUGCUAAAAGGCUAAAUAAUCGGUUUGGGGGGCUUUUCUUCGUGAGAAAGCAUCAAUCGUUUGAGUUCUAGAAGAUACUUGCUUCUAGCCUCAUCAUCCUGGAUAUGUUCUAUAAUGUCAAAUAGGAUCUCUUUAGGAUUUCCGGAAAUGACAUUAAGGGUUUUCCUGGUGCAAGUGCAGAAAGCACCGUUACAGGCACAUUCUUGGCCUGAUUGGGAUUGAUCUGACUCAUAAGCAGCAUUGAUGAACUCCUCAUCGCUGUAGUCAUCACUUGAUGAGGUGUAGGAGGAUUCUGAAGAAUCAGGCGAGUCUUCCAUUAUAGAAAAUAAACUAGCUCUGGUUUCUUCUGAGAGGUCUAGCUGGUUUAUCUUCUUUUUCUUAUUAGACUUCCAAUCUUUUGCCCGGUGGCCCGUCUUGCCACAAGUCCAACAAGUAUCUUUAGCCUUAGAGGUUUUUCUUUUGGUAGAUUUUCUACUUGGUUUAUAAGAAUCUCGUUUGAAGGGUUUCUUACUAGAAGUAGCCUUCUUAUGAGGUUUGGAGGUCUUUUUCUUAUGCUUUUUGCCAGGGCUGGUGAAUCCAUAGUCUUGGCAGAAGGUUCCUAGUNN